Molecule: ribosomal RNA, 384 nt
Filed under: Prymnesiophyceae sp.
Lineage: Eukaryota; Haptophyta
Also listed under: 1 other name
Description: SSU rRNA
Rfam family: Eukaryotic small subunit ribosomal RNA
Source: RNAcentral
AGCUCCAAUAGCGUAUAUUAAAGUUGUUGCAGUUAAAACGCUCGUAGUCGGAUUUCGGGGCGGGCCGACCGGUCUGCCGAUGGGUAUGCACUGGCCGGCGCGUCCUUCCUUCCGGAGACCGCGCCUACUCUUAGCUGAGCGGGCGCGGGAGACGGAUCGUUUACUUUGAAAAAAUCAGAGUGUUUCAAGCAGGCAGCUCGCUCUUGCAUGGAUUAGCAUGGGAUAAUGAAAUAGGACUUUGGUGCUAUUUUGUUGGUUUCGAACACCGAAGUAAUGAUUAACAGGGACAGUCAGGGGCACUCGUAUUCCGCCGAGAGAGGUGAAAUUCUCAGACCAGCGGAAGACGAACCACUGCGAAAGCAUUUGCCAGGGAUGUUUUCACUG